AGUGAACGCUGGCGGUAGGCCUAACACAUGCAAGUCGAACGGCAGCACAGUAAGAGCUUGCUCUUACGGGUGGCGAGUGGCGGACGGGGGAGGAAUACAUCGGAAUUUACUUUUUCGUGGGGGAUAACGUAGGGAAACUUACGCUAAUACCGCAUACGACCUACGGGUGAAAGCAGGGGAUCUUCGGACCUUGCGCGAUUGAAUGAGCCGAUGUCGGAUUAGCUAGUUGGCGGGGUAAGGGCCCACCAAGGCGACGAUCCGUAGCUGGUCUGAGAGGAUGAUCAGCCACACUGGAACUGAGACACGGUCCAGACUCCUACGGGAGGCAGCAGUGGGGAAUAUUGGACAAUGGGCGCAAGCCUGAUCCAGCCAUACCGCGUGGGUGAAGAAGGCCUUCGGGUUGUAAAGCCCUUUUGUUGGGAAAGAAAAGCAGCAGGUUAAUACCCCGCUGUUCUGACGGUACCCAAAGAAUAAGCACCGGCUAACUUCGUG
Molecule: ribosomal RNA, 492 nt
Filed under: uncultured bacterium
Lineage: Bacteria
Description: partial 16S ribosomal RNA
Rfam family: Bacterial small subunit ribosomal RNA
Source: RNAcentral